UUUGUAAAAAAAAAUUAUUUAAUUUGAUAUGCUACAAAGCAACAAAUUCAAAUAAUAUAAGUAGGAUCGUAAAAAAAGAUAUUGGGUAGGUAUACACAAACGAAUAAGUGGCCCCUAUUGUCUCUAUAUUAGAUUUAGGAACCUCUUAAAAUCAGCAUAAAUAAGCACUAUUUAAGUAAGUUUGCUUCACAAAUAAAAAAAUAUACGCGAACGGCCAUGACUGUAUAGAUAAGGAGAGACGCCACCUAGUGGUCAGUACCGGCACUAACUCCGCUCCAUACAAUUUUGCGUUACGUUUCACUGCUCCAUAGGUCAUGAUUAUAAUAUCCUUGCCAGGUUAGGUUAGGUAAUUAGAAUGUCAUGCAGCUUUUAUACUUAAUUGCUUCAUUGAAUACAAGUGCCUCAAGUAGGGAUCCUGGUUAAACUUUCAUCAGUGUCCACGCGAUUCUUCUAUGUAAAUUUUGGACAUAAGUUAUUUUCUCAACUACACAAAUAAUAAAUUAUGAUAUUCAACUGAUCAA
Molecule: long non-coding RNA, 521 nt
Organism: Plutella xylostella (diamondback moth)
Lineage: Eukaryota; Metazoa; Arthropoda; Insecta; Lepidoptera; Plutellidae
Source: RefSeq, a predicted model, not a curated record